UGAAAUCCCCGGGCUUAACCUGGGAACUGCAUUUGGAACUGGAAGACUAGAGUGUGUCAGAGGGGGGUGGAAUUCCACGUGUAGCAGUGAAAUGCGUAGAGAUGUGGAGGAACACCGAUGGCGAAGGCAGCCCCCUGGGAUAACACUGACGCUCAUGCACGAAAGCGUGGGGAGCAAACAGGAUUAGAUACCCUGGUAGUCCACGCCCUAAACGAUGUCAACUAGUUGUUGGGAGAGUCAAUCUCUUGGUAACGUACCUAACGCGUGAAAUUGACCGCCUGGGGAGUACGGCCGCAAGGUUAAAACUCAAAGGAAUUGAC
RNAcentral lists this ribosomal RNA (320 nucleotides) under uncultured bacterium. Its description in RNAcentral is "bacterial SSU rRNA". It matches the Rfam family "Bacterial small subunit ribosomal RNA", at positions 595 to 914 of the family's 1533-position model. The record is from RNAcentral.